RNAcentral lists this ribosomal RNA (301 nucleotides) under uncultured bacterium. RNAcentral's name for it is "partial 16S ribosomal RNA". It matches the Rfam family "Bacterial small subunit ribosomal RNA", at positions 509 to 807 of the family's 1533-position model. The record is from RNAcentral.
CAGCAGCCGCGGUAAUACGUAGGUCCCGAGCGUUGUCCGGAUUUAUUGGGCGUAAAGCGAGCGCAGGCGGUUAGAUAAGUCUGAAGUUAAAGGCUGUGGCUUAACCAUAGUACGCUUUGGAAACUGUUUAACUUGAGUGCAAGAGGGGAGAGUGGAAUUCCAUGUGUAGCGGUGAAAUGCGUAGAUAUAUGGAGGAACACCGGUGGCGAAAGCGGCUCUCUGGCUUGUAACUGACGCUGAGGCUCGAAAGCGUGGGGAGCAAACAGGAUUAGAUACCCGAGUAGUCCCUGGUCUCUUAUAC